RNAcentral lists this unclassified non-coding RNA (300 nucleotides) under uncultured Galerina. RNAcentral describes it as "sequence contains 5.8S rRNA gene, ITS2". The stretch from base 1 to 71 matches the Rfam family "5.8S ribosomal RNA", at positions 84 to 154 of the family's 154-position model. The record is from RNAcentral. Lineage: Eukaryota; Fungi; Basidiomycota; Agaricomycetes; Agaricales; Cortinariaceae.
GUGAGUCAUCGAAUCUUUGAACGCACCUUGCGCUCCUUGGUAUUCCGAGGAGCAUGCCUGUUUGAGUGUCAUUAAAUUCUCAACUAUUAUUAGCUUUUGCUACUAAUGGCUUGGAUAUGGGGGUUCUUUGCUGGCUUUGUUAAAAGGUCUGCUCCCCUUAAAUUUAUUAGCUGGUGCCCCGCGUGGACUGUCUAUUGGUGUGAUAAUUAUCUACGCCGUGGAUUUCUGCUUUAAUGGGUUGUGCUGCUUAUAACUGUCUUUUUUAUUAAGACAAUAUAUGACAAUUUGACCUCAAAUCAG